GGCUCAGUUGGUAGAGCAUCACCUUGCCAAGGUGAGGGUCGCGAGCCGGGAGGUGACCUCCUCCA
RNAcentral lists this transfer RNA (65 nucleotides) under Streptomyces sp. SID5770. RNAcentral's name for it is "tRNA-Gly". Lineage: Bacteria; Bacillati; Actinomycetota; Actinomycetes; Kitasatosporales; Streptomycetaceae. The record is from RNAcentral.